RNAcentral lists this long non-coding RNA (3158 nucleotides) under Olea europaea subsp. europaea. Lineage: Eukaryota; Viridiplantae; Streptophyta; Magnoliopsida; Lamiales; Oleaceae. The record is from RNAcentral.
CACCAUGGCAUUGAAUAUAUUAAACUUAUUAAAGCUAAUUUCAAGUUUUCGUGAAUCAGUAAAUGGGAUUGGAUGUUUUCUAAUUUGGGUUUGUCAGUAACUUAUUAAUGUUUUGGAAAUGGGAUUCUAAUUUUGUUGAUAUGUUUCUAUUGCCACUGAUUCACACAGAAAGCAUUUACAAGUGAUUGGGACAAGGAUUUGAAAAGCUUAUGAGCAAUUUGUGAUUUUGACUCUUUGCAACAGCCAACAGGUACUUUCCCUCUCUCUAUAGAUACGUGUCUGUGAUUCUAUCUCUGUGUGUGGACUGGAUAAUCUUCAUCAUAUGCAUGUGUGGUUGAAAAUUUUAGUGUUAAUGGUCAUUUUUCAAUAAUGAAUGAUAGAAUUGCUCUUGAAAAUGAUGUGGUAUUUUGCUUUAAUUUUCUAUUGCAAAUACAAGUGAUUGAAGAGAAGUAAUGGUUAUGAAAGUGAUUAAGUGAAAAUACAUCUUAUUAGUUAUUUAAUUCAUUUUCUUAUCAUCUUAUGUCUUUUUUUCUUUGAAUUUAAUUUGGAUAAAAGUGUUCUAAUUAUGUUCCAUAUGAUUUUACAUCUGCAUUGCCUACUUCAAUCACCACCGCGACCACCAAUUUCUGAAUCCUUUCAUUUUGGGACUCAUCAAUCAGGUUUUAUCGCUCUUUACUUGUUAUUAUGUCUACGAAAAAAUUUGAAUCGGGAUGUGCCAAAAGAAAAACGAAGGAAAAGAUUGGAAAAUUGAUUAAAUCUCAAGAGGGAGCACUUGAUAAGUUUUUUAGUAGUAGUAAACGAACACACAACGAUGAUGUAGUUACUGAAGAAGUGUUCAAUGAUCAGGACAACUAUAAUAACACAAUUGAAGAAGGACAUUGUGUGAUGAAUGAAGAGGUAUCUACUGACAAAGAUAAUGAACCAUUUUCUCUUGACCUUGUUGAUCCAGUAAAUUUGGGAAAUAUGAAUAAGAAUUUAAGAGAUUUAAUUGUAAUGAAAGGUCCUGUAAGAGAAAAUGAUAUGAUUUUUUCGAAAGAUGGAGCAAAUCGACACUUUUCAUCCAUACAUUACGUUUGACAAUUACAUAAUGGAGAGAAGCAUGAUAGAAAAUGGUUGAUAUAUUCAAAAAGUUUGGAUAAAGUAUUUUGCUUUUGUUGUAAGCUAUUCAAGAAUGAUGGAAUCAGAACUCAAUUGGCACAUGAUGGAGUAAAUGAUCAGAAAAUAUUAGUGAAAAACUUAAAAUGCAUAAAGUAAGUUGUGACCACAUCAAUAACAUGAGUAAAUGGAUAGAAAUGGAAUUAAGAUUUGAAAAGAAUAAAACAAUUAACAAAAGUGUGCAAGAACAAAUCAAUAGAGAUAGAGAACAUUGGAGACACGUAUUACUGAGAAUAAUAUCUGUGAUGAAAACUCUCGCUGAGAAUAAUUUAGCAUUUCGUGGGAAUAAUGAGAAGAUAUAUAAAAAAAAAUAAUGGUAUCUUCUUAAGCAUGAUUCAAAUGAUUGUUGAGUUUGACCCCAUAAUGUAAGAGCAUGUUUGUCGAAUAAAAAAUAAAGAGAUUCAUUAUCAUUAUCUAGGACACAAAAUUCAGAAUGAGUUGAUAUUUAUGCUAGCGGGCGAGAUAAAAAAAAAAAUCAUUGAGAAUCUCAAAAUUUCUAAAUACUUUUCUGUUAUAUUUGAUUGCACUCCAGAUACAAGUCACGAAGAACAAAUAUCAAUAAUAUUGAGAUGUGUAGAUGUUUUGACAAGUCUAGUGAAGGUUGAAAUUUUUUUUUAGGGUUUUUAUUAGUGGAUGAUACAUUAGGUAAGAGACUUUUUGAGGAAUUUGUGGAUGCUUUGAAUAAUCUAGAAUUUGAUAUUGAUAAUGUAAGGAGUCAAAGCUAUGAUAAUGGUGCUAACAUGAAAGGACAACAUAAAUGAGUUCAAAGUAGACUACUACAGCUAAAUCCUAGAGCAUUCUACAUUCCUUGUGGAUGUCAUAGUCUUAAUCUUGCACUUUGUGAUAUGGCCACUUGUUGUUCAAAAGCUAAAUCUUUCUUUGGGGUGGUGCAACGUAUAUAUACUUUAUUUUCUUCAUUUACUAAAUGAUGGAAAGUUUUUAAAGAGAAUGUAAUUGGUCUUACUCUUAAACCCUUGUCACAAACUCGUUGGGAAAGGCAUAUUGAAAGUGUUAGAGCGAUAAGAUUUCAAGCUCCGCAGAUGAAAAAAAAGUGUUACUUCAAUUAGCAAAUGUUGAUGAUUCUAAGACAAAAAGUGAGGCGGAGUGUUUGGCAACAUAUGAGAUUGAUAAUUUUGAAUUCUUACUUGGAAUGAUUAUUUGGUAUGAAGUGUUGAAUAAUGUUAACAGAGUAAGCAAACAUUUGCAAGCAGAAGACAUGCAUAUUGAUGUUGCUAUAGACCAUUUAAAAGGCCUCAUUUCAUUUUUUAGAAGUUAUAGAGAAUCUGGUUUUGAAUCGGCCAUGGUUGAUGCUAAAGAGAUUGCGAGUGAAUUAGAAAUUGAACUGAUAUUCGUGAAAAAUGGGUUAUGCAUAGAAAAAAACAGUUUGAUGAGACUUCUUCUGAAGAGAUAACACAAAGAGCUGAAUAAUCUUUUAAGAUCAAUUAUUUCAUAUAUAUAGUGGAUCAAGCUUUAUCAUCACUUCAUAAUAGAUUUGAGCAAUUUCAUAAAUAUGUUGAUAAUUUGGGAUUUUUGUUUGAUUUGAAAAGAUUUCAUCUAUUGAUGAUGAUGUUUUGAAGUGUUCUUGCAUUAAACUUGAAAAUUACUUGAAGCAUAAUACAAUUUUUGAUAUUGAUGGAAUGAAAUUAUUUUCUGAGUUGAAAGUUUUAAGGGAAGCGAUAUCUGCAAACAUUUUUGGAGCAAUUGAUGUAUUGGAUUACAUUAAGAAAAUGAGCUGUUGUUAUGCAAAUGUCUGGAUUGCUUAUAGAGUAUUAUUGACUAUUCCCGUUACAGUUGCCUCUGCUGAAAGAACGAAGUUUAAGUUGAUUAAAUCUUAUCUUCGAUCAUCCAUGUCAUAACAGCGAUUGAAUGGAUUAGCUAUGAUUUCUAUUGAAAAAAAUAUGUUGGACAACCUUGAUGUUAAUAGUUUGAUUACUAAUUUUACAUCUCAAAAUAUGAGAAUGUUAAAUUUUAUGCUAGCCUAAUCUUUCGGGUUGUGAAAGAAG